Molecule: small nucleolar RNA, 86 nt
Organism: Phoenix dactylifera (date palm)
Lineage: Eukaryota; Viridiplantae; Streptophyta; Magnoliopsida; Arecales; Arecaceae
Product: small nucleolar RNA snoR114
Source: RefSeq, a predicted model, not a curated record
GAGCAGCGAGGAUAGCAACGCAUUCUAUGAUGCUUGGGCGCAUCAUGACCAUCUGAUUAUCGGAUGACAUCAGCUGUUCUGAGCUC